GGUGUAUAGUUAAUAGCAUUACACUGUGACGUUAGCUACAGAAGAAGCACCGGCAAACUCCGUGCCAGCAGCCGCGGUAAUACGGAGGGUGCGAGCGUUAAUCGGAAUUACUGGGCGUAAAGCGCGCGUAGGCGGUUAUUUAAGUGAGGUGUGAAAUACCCCUGGGCUCAACCUAGGAACUGCAUUUCAAACUGGAUAACUUGAGUAUGUCAGAGGGUAUUGGAAUUUCCCCGUGUAGCAGUGAAAUGCGUAGAUAUGGGAAGGAACAUCAGUGGCGAAGGCGAAUACCUGGGAUAAUACUGACGCUGAGGUGCGAAAGCGUGGGGAGCAAACGGGAUUAGAUACCCCUGGUAG
This 354-nucleotide ribosomal RNA is filed under the name uncultured bacterium. RNAcentral describes it as "bacterial SSU rRNA". It matches the Rfam family "Bacterial small subunit ribosomal RNA", at positions 444 to 793 of the family's 1533-position model. The record is from RNAcentral.